GACGAACGCUGGCGGCGUGCUUAACACAUGCAAGUCGAACGGAAAGGCCCUGCUUUUGUGGGGUGCUCGAGUGGCGAACGGGUGAGUAACACGUGAGUAACCUGCCCUUGACUUUGGGAUAACUUCAGGAAACUGGGGCUAAUACCGGAUAGGAGCUCCUGCUGCAUGGUGGGGGUUGGAAAGUUUCGGCGGUUGGGGAUGGACUCGCGGCUUAUCAGCUUGUUGGUGGGGUAGUGGCUUACCAAGGCUUUGACGGGUAGCCGGCCUGAGAGGGUGACCGGCCACAUUGGGACUGAGAUACGGCCCAGACUCCUACGGAAGGCAGCAGUGGGGAAUAUUGCACAAUGGGCGGAAGCCUGAUGCAGCAACGCCGCGUGCGUGAUGACGGCCUUCGGGUUGUAAACCGCUUUCGCCUGUGACGAAGCGUGAGUGACGGUAAUGGGUAAAGAAGCACCGGCUAACUACGUG
Molecule: ribosomal RNA, 468 nt
Filed under: uncultured bacterium
Lineage: Bacteria
Description: partial 16S ribosomal RNA
Rfam family: Bacterial small subunit ribosomal RNA
Source: RNAcentral